This 563-nucleotide ribosomal RNA is filed under the name uncultured bacterium. Its description in RNAcentral is "partial 16S ribosomal RNA". It matches the Rfam family "Bacterial small subunit ribosomal RNA", at positions 355 to 918 of the family's 1533-position model. The record is from RNAcentral.
UAAGGAAUAUUGGUCAAUGGGCGGAAGCCUGAACCAGCCAUGCCGCGUGCAGGAUGACUGCCCUAUGGGUUGUAAACUGCUUUUGUCCAGGAAUAAACCUAGAUACGUGUAUCUAGCUGAAUGUACUGGAAGAAUAAGGAUCGGCUAACUCCGUGCCAGCAGCCGCGGUAAUACGGAGGAUCCGAGCGUUAUCCGGAUUUAUUGGGUUUAAAGGGUGCGUAGGCGGCCUAUUAAGUCAGGGGUGAAAUACGGUGGCUCAACCAUCGCAGUGCCUUUGAUACUGAUGGGCUUGAAUCCAUUUGAAGUGGGCGGAAUAAGACAAGUAGCGGUGAAAUGCAUAGAUAUGUCUUAGAACUCCGAUUGCGAAGGCAGCUCACUAAGCUGGUAUUGACGCUGAUGCACGAAAGCGUGGGGAUCGAACAGGAUUAGAUACCCUGGUAGUCCACGCCCUAAACGAUGAUAACUCGAUGUUGGCGAUAGAUAGCCAGCGUCCAAGCGAAAGCGUUAAGUUAUCCACCUGGGGAGUACGCCCGCAAGGGUGAAACUCAAAUGAAUUGACGGGG